Molecule: long non-coding RNA, 1716 nt
Organism: Drosophila innubila
Lineage: Eukaryota; Metazoa; Arthropoda; Insecta; Diptera; Drosophilidae
Exons: 2
Source: RefSeq, a predicted model, not a curated record
UAAAGUCUUAGCUACAAGUGGACCUAUAAAUUGGCUUAAGUCGUGUACCGGAAAUUAUCAAUGCAGCGGAUGGAUUGCUUUUAAGUCGAGCCGACCUGGGUACACAAAUACCUAUUGAAAAACUUUUCAUAACACAAAAAUCGGUAUUAGGUCAAUGUAACAAGGUUGGAAAACCAGUAAUUAUUGCAUCGAAUUUAUUGGAAUCUAUGCGUUUGAAUCCAUUUCCUACACGCGCAGAGUGUUUUGAUCUAGGUAACGCAGUCAUUGAUGGCGUCGAUUGUAUUAUGCUGUCUUCCGAGGUUGCAAUUGGAUUAUAUCCUAUGGAAACUAUAGAUAUCUGUGAUGCGCUUUGUCGCGAAGCUGAAAAAGUUAUAUGGUACCGGAAUCUAUUUGAUGAUUUGGUUCAUGAAACACAUGGAGAACUGGAUGCAUCUCAUUCGAUUGCCAUAACUGCUGUUGAAACAGCUAGACGUACUAAAGCAACGCUUAUAAUAGUGCUUACCACAUCGGGCCGUUCUGCAGCUUUACUUAGCAAAUUCAGGCCACGUUGCCCAGUUCUGGCAGUCACUCGGUGUGAGAAGGCAGCUCGUUGGGUAAAUUUACAUCGUGGGGUAAUGCCAUUACUUUAUCCUGCGGAUUGCAGCGAAAACUAUGCAAGUGAUGUUGAUGCACGUGUAAGAUUUGCACUAACAAGUGCUAGGAAAACUGAUUUAAUUAACGAUGGUGAUCCCAUUGUGAUUGUUAGCGCCUGGAAAGAUGGCGGAGGUUUUACUAACAAUGUCCGCGUAGUUUAUUCUUUCUUUGAGGCUGACCAAAUGGACUGUCUCUUUCGUGCUGACAAAAGUCGCUCACGAAAAAAUACAGCAUUGCAGACAAAACCAGCAAUUGGAGAGCCCACUAGCAAGGCGUAGGCUCCACAAAAGAUUUGAUUUCGAAACUUCAAUGAGGAUGUAUUUUACGAAAACUGCGCAAACAUCAAACAUAGAAUUUUCUGUGGCGAUUAUUAAUUGUAAUUUUUAAAAAUUCAUUUCUAAUUGGCACGCUAUUAAAAAAUACAACAAUAUGGAAAAUUAAAAUUAUAUUGAAGUAUUAUUAUUAAAGUAAGGAAAUCUGCAUGAUAAUCCCAUGGAUCUAUUGUGCCACCUUCUGAGCCUAUAGCUCAUCCAUCAACCCUAAUUCUCGCACGAAGUCGACCAUUUUUGUCGGGUUGAGGUCAACAAUUGUACGCUAACGGUUGGACAUAUUUUCCUGGAAAGCUACAUCUAUAUAGAGCAGUGCAUUCUGCUAGAAUAUACAUUGAAGACUCACCUCGUAAUUGCAGAAACGGCAGGCUAUACUGUUUACAAUUCCUAAUUUAGAUAGGUGACUUUUCAGUCUACAGUGGCCUCUUAGUACAACGUAAAACAAUAAAUACGUGUUGUUGGCAGCGUUGCUAGAUGUCAAAGAGAAAGAAUAAGUGUAGAGAAGUGGUGAAGAAGGAAAAGGAGUGACCAAGUUAAUUUAUAAUAAAAAUGUUGGACAGAGUUGCCAGACUGUUAAUACUGAGAUCGCCACAGUACUCCCUCCUAGAGUUCGGUGGAUUGUUGACCCGAGGAAGUCUGCGAGGUUGUUUUAUCUGUGUCGAUCACUUGAUUUGUUGCUUCUGAAAUGGGAUAGGCGGAUGGUGUAGCAAGGACUGAAAAUAAUGAUUAUUGUUCAAAAUAGCUACAUAAAAAA